Molecule: ribosomal RNA, 498 nt
Filed under: uncultured bacterium
Lineage: Bacteria
Description: partial 16S ribosomal RNA
Rfam family: Bacterial small subunit ribosomal RNA
Source: RNAcentral
GACGAACGCUGGCGGCGUGCCUAAUACAUGCAAGUCGAACGAGAGCGACCGGUGCUUGCACUGGUCAAUCUAGUGGCGCACGGGUGAGUAACACGUGGGUAACCUGCCCAUCAGAGGGGGAUAACAUCCGGAAACGGAUGCUAAAACCGCAUAGGUCUUCGAGCCGCAUGGCUUGAAGAGGAAAAGAGGCGCAAGCUUCUGCUGAUGGAUGGACCCGCGGUGCAUUAGCUAGUUGGUGAGGUAACGGCUCACAAAGGCCGUGAUGCGUAGCCGACCUGAGAGGGUGAUCGGCCACAUGGGGACUGAGACACGGCCCAAGCGCCUACGGGAGGCAGCAGUAGGGAAUCUUACGCAAUGGACGCAAGUAUGACGGAGCAACGGCGCGUGAGUGAAGAAGGUUUUCGGAUCGUAAAGCUCUGUUGUUAGAGAAGAACAAGUGCUAGAGUAAAUGUUAGCGGCUUGACGGUAUCUAACCAGAAAGCCACGGCUAACUACAUG